GAUGAACGCUGGCGGCGUGCCUAAUACAUGCAAGUCGAGCGAACAGACGAGGAGCUUGCUCCUCUGACGUUAGCGGCGGACGGGUGAGUAACACGUGGAUAACCUACCUAUAAUACUGGUAUAACUUCGGGAAACCGGAGCUAAUACCGGAUAAUAUAUUGAACCGCAUGGUUCAAUAGUGAAAGACGGUUUUGCUGUCACUUAUAGAUGGAUCCGCGCCGCAUUAGCUAGUUGGUAAGGUAACGGCUUAGCAAGGCAACGAUGCGUAGCCGACCUGAGAGGGUGAUCGGCCACACUGGAACUGAGACACGGUCCAGACUCCUACGGGAGGCAGCAGUAGGGAAUCUUCCGCAGUGGGCGAAAGCCUGACGGAGCAACGCCGAGUGAGUGAUGAAGGUCUUGGGAUCGUAAAGCUCUGUUAUUAGGGAAAAACAAAUGUGUACGUAACUAUGCACGUCUUGACGGUACCUAAUCAGAAAGCAACGGCUAACUACGUG
RNAcentral lists this ribosomal RNA (497 nucleotides) under uncultured bacterium. RNAcentral's name for it is "partial 16S ribosomal RNA". It matches the Rfam family "Bacterial small subunit ribosomal RNA", at positions 28 to 507 of the family's 1533-position model. The record is from RNAcentral.